CCUACGGGAGGCAGCAGUGGGGAAUAUUGCACAAUGGGGGAAACCCUGAUGCAGCGACGCCGCGUGAGUGAAGAAGUAUUUCGGUAUGUAAAGCUCUAUUAGCAGGGAAGAAAAUGACGGUACUUGAUUAAGAAGCCCCGGCUAAAUACGUGCCAGCAGCCGCGGUAAUAAGUAGGGGGCAAGCGUUAUCCGGAUUUACUGGGUGUAAAGGGAGCGUAGACGGUGAUGCAAGUCAGAAGUGAAAGGCCAGGGCUCAACUCCGGGACUGCGUUUGAAACUGUGUGUCUGGAGUGAAGGAGAGGUAAGCGGAAUUCCUGGUGUAGCGGUGAAAUGCGUAGAUAUCAGGAGGAACACCAGUGGCGAAGGCGGCUUACUGGACUGUAACUGACGUUGAGGCUCGAAAGCGUGGGUAGCGAACAGGAUUAGAUACCCCAGUAGUC
RNAcentral lists this ribosomal RNA (440 nucleotides) under uncultured bacterium. RNAcentral describes it as "partial 16S ribosomal RNA". It matches the Rfam family "Bacterial small subunit ribosomal RNA", at positions 338 to 795 of the family's 1533-position model. The record is from RNAcentral.